ACCCAACUGACGAGUCUCAAAUAGGGCGAAACGCGCGUCCUGGAU
RNAcentral lists this non-coding RNA (45 nucleotides) under Schistosoma mattheei. Lineage: Eukaryota; Metazoa; Platyhelminthes; Trematoda; Strigeidida; Schistosomatidae. The record is from RNAcentral.